Molecule: ribosomal RNA, 504 nt
Filed under: uncultured bacterium
Lineage: Bacteria
Description: bacterial SSU rRNA
Rfam family: Bacterial small subunit ribosomal RNA
Source: RNAcentral
ACUCAAAGGAAUUGACGGGGGCCCGCACAAGCAGUGGAGCGUGUGGUUUAAUUCGACGCAACGCGCAGAACCUUACCAGGGCUUGACAUCCUCUGACGGCUGUAGAAAUACAGAGUCUGGUGCUUGCAUCAGCAGAGAGACAGGUGCUGCAUGGUUGUCGUCAGCUCGUGUCGUGAGAUGUUGGGUUAAGUCCCGCAACGAGCGCAACCCCUGUCCUGUGUUGCUAACGCGUAGAGGCGAGCACUCACAGGAGACUGCCGGAGACAAUUCGGAGGAAGGUGGGGAUGACGUCAAAUCCUCAUGGCCCUUAUGUCCUGGGCUACACACGCGCUACAAUGGCGCGGACAACGGGCAGCUACAUUGCGAAAUGAUGCUAAUCCCUUAAACCGCGUCCCAGUUCGGAUUGCAGGCUGAAACCCGCCUGCAUGAAGCCGGAAUUGCUAGUAAUCGCGGAUCAGCUACGCCGCGGUGAAUACGUUCCCGGGCCUUGUACACACCGCCCGU